CGGUUUAAACCAGAAGUCACGGCUAACUACGUGCCAGCAGCCGCGGUAAUACGUAGGUGGCAAGCGUUAUCCGGGAUUUAUUGGGCGUAAAGAGAGUGCAGGCGGUUUUCUAAGUCUGAUGUGAAAGCUUUCGGCUUAACCGGAGAAGUGCAUCGGAAACUGGAUAACUUGAGUGCAGAAGAGGGUAGUGGAACUCCAUGUGUAGCGGUGGAAUGCGUAGAUAUAUGGAAGAACACCAGUGGCGAAGGCGGCUACCUGGUCUGCAACUGACGCUGAGACUCGAAAGCAUGGGUAGCGAACAGGAUUAGAUACCCUGGUAGUCCAUGCCGUAAACGAUGAGUGCUAGGUGUUGGAGGGUUUCCGCCCUUCAGUGCCGGAGCUAACGCAUUAAGCACUCCGCCUGGGGAGUACGACCGCAAGGUUGAAACUCAAAGGAAUUGACGGGGGCCCGCACAAGCGGUGGAGCAUGUGGUUUAAUUCGAAGCUACGCGAAGAACCUUACCAGGUCUUGACAUCUUGCGCCAACCCUAGAGAUAGGGCGUUUCCUUCGGGAACGCAAUGACAGGUGGUGCAUGGUCGUCGUCAGCUCGUGUCGUGAGAUGUUGGGUUAAGUCCCGCAACGAGCGCAACCCUUGUUACUAGUUGCCAGCAUUAAGUUGGGCACUCUAGUGAGACUGCCGGUGACAAACCGGAGGAAGGUGGGGACGUCAGAUCAUCAUGCCCCUUAUGACCUGGGCUACACACGUGCUACAAUGGACGGUACCGAGUCGCGAACUCGCGAGGGCAAGCAAAUCUCUUAAAACCGUUCUCAGUUCGGACUGCAGGCUGCAACUCGCCUGCACGAAGUCGGAAUCGCUAGUAAUCGCGGAUCAGCAUGGCGGUGAAUACGUUCCCGGGCCUUGUACACACCGCCCGUCACACCAUGAGAGUUUGACACCCAAAGUCGGUGGGGUAACCUUUAGGAGCCAGCCGCGUAAGUGACAGGAUUG
This 989-nucleotide ribosomal RNA is filed under the name Limosilactobacillus fermentum. RNAcentral's name for it is "bacterial SSU rRNA". It matches the Rfam family "Bacterial small subunit ribosomal RNA", at positions 473 to 1473 of the family's 1533-position model. Lineage: Bacteria; Bacillati; Bacillota; Bacilli; Lactobacillales; Lactobacillaceae. The record is from RNAcentral.